Molecule: long non-coding RNA, 567 nt
Filed under: Homo sapiens (human)
Lineage: Eukaryota; Metazoa; Chordata; Mammalia; Primates; Hominidae
Description: non-protein coding SRGAP3-AS3:3
Source: RNAcentral
CUAAACUACAGCAGACACAGAGGACAAAUAUUGUAUGAGUCCGCUCACACGAGAUGCCUAGAGGAGCCAAAACCACGGAAACAGAAAGUAGACUGGGGCCUCAUUGAGAUGCCAGAUUGCUUCUUCAAGACCCUCCAAGGGGGCACGUCAAAUUCUGAUGGGCCUCACCUUGGACAAGGCUGGGGUUUUUAGACCAGCUUUCACAGCCUGGUUGCUCCAGUGUCAAGACUGACAGUGAUCCAGGGACCUUUAGGGCAGACAACUUCAUUGUGACAGAAUGAGACCUGUGGCCUUUGGACCUCGGUGGGGCCAUAUGUCACCCCUGCAGGCCCCAGGCCCCCCAAGCCACCAAGAGUCACAGAGGCAGGGAGGGGACAGGAGGAGAUCUUGCCCCCACUGCAUCUGGCUCUCCUGCCCUCACCAUCCGCAGCAGGGGGUACACUACAGCUUCGGCUUUACAAACACAGGGAAAAAGCUAACACAACCUUUAAGCCGCAUUAACAGGAUCAAGGGAUGUAUUAUUAGUCCUGCUAGCCUCCGAACCAUUGAGAGUACUUCUGAAAGACA